This 460-nucleotide ribosomal RNA is filed under the name uncultured bacterium. RNAcentral describes it as "partial 16S ribosomal RNA". It matches the Rfam family "Bacterial small subunit ribosomal RNA", at positions 338 to 795 of the family's 1533-position model. The record is from RNAcentral.
CCUACGGGUGGCAUCAGUGAGGAAUAUUGGUCAAUGGGCGCGAGCCUGAACCAGCCAAGUAGCGUGAAGGAUGACUGCCCUACGUGUUGUAAACUUCUUUUGUAAAGGAAUAAAGUGAGGCACGUGUGCCUUUUUGUAUGUACUUUAUCAUUAAGGAUCGGCUAACUCCGUGCCCGCAGCCGCGGUAAUACGGAGGAUCUGAGCGUUAUCCGGAUUUAUUGGGUUUAAAGGGAGCGUAGAUGGGUGGUUAAGUCAGUUGUGAAAGUUUGCGUCUAAACCGUAAAAUUGCAAUUGAUACUGGCAGCCGUGAGUACAGUUGAGGGAGGCGGAAUUCGUGGUGGAGCGGUGAAAUGCUUAGAUAUCACGAAGAACUCCGAUUGCGAAGGCAGCUUACUAAACUGCCACUGACAUUGAUGCUCGAAAGUGUGGGUAUCAAACAGGAUUAGAUACCCCAGUAGUC